Molecule: ribosomal RNA, 420 nt
Filed under: uncultured bacterium
Lineage: Bacteria
Description: bacterial SSU rRNA
Rfam family: Bacterial small subunit ribosomal RNA
Source: RNAcentral
AAGGAAUAUUGGUCAAUGGAGGCAACUCUGAACCAGCCAUGCCGCGUGCAGGAAGACGGCCCUCUGGGUUGUAAACUGCUUUUAUUCGGGAAUAAACCUACUUACGUGUAAGUAGCUGAAUGUACCGAAGGAAUAAGGAUCGGCUAACUCCGUGCCAGCAGCCGCGGUAAUACGGAGGAUCCAAGCGUUAUCCGGAUUUAUUGGGUUUAAAGGGUGCGUAGGCGGCCUAUUAAGUCAGGGGUGAAAGACGGUAGCUCAACUAUCGCAGUGCCCUUGAUACUGAUGGGCUUGAAUGAACUAGAGGUAGGCGGAAUGUGACAAGUAGCGGUGAAAUGCAUAGAUAUGUCACAGAACACCGAUUGCGAAGGCAGCUUACUAUGGUUUUAGUGACGCUGAGGCACGAAAGCGUGGGGAUCAAAC